Symsagittifera roscoffensis is the source of this 430-nucleotide long non-coding RNA. RefSeq lists it as uncharacterized. Lineage: Eukaryota; Metazoa; Xenacoelomorpha; Acoela; Convolutidae. The record is from RefSeq and is a predicted model, not a curated record. The transcript has 3 exons.
UUACAUCAUUUGCUCAUUUCAGAUAGGUUCACCUCACUUGCUUCUGACAAAACGCCAAGUUUUCAAUCUAAUAUGAUGUGUUUCGGCAGAGACUUCAUUUUCUACCUUUUUCUGUUCAUCUGCGCUUUUCAUAUUCUUGUUGCAACAAAUGGAGGAAGAUACGGAAAAGUGACCAAAGAAAAGGGGGUGUCCAACCACCCGGACGAUAGGAAGUGGUCUAACAGACUGGACAAUGCCAUGGGUUGGAAGGGGGGUUACAAGGAUACAAGUCGCGUGAGAGAAUUUGUUCACACUGAAUACCACAACAGAAUGGCCGACAAGAAACAGAAAAACGGAAACCCAGGAUUGUCCACGUUCAAUCAUUUGCUUUAAAAUAUGAGGCUCAAAUUUUGCCAAUUGAAAGAACUUUGCUGCAAAAACUAUCUUUUAG